This 472-nucleotide ribosomal RNA is filed under the name uncultured bacterium. RNAcentral's name for it is "SSU rRNA". It matches the Rfam family "Bacterial small subunit ribosomal RNA", at positions 26 to 518 of the family's 1533-position model. The record is from RNAcentral.
AGGAUGAACGCUGGCGGCGUGCCUAACACAUGCAAGUCGAACGUCCUGUCUCGCAAGAGGCAGGGAGUGGCGGACGGGUGAGUACCACGUGGGUUAUCUACCGUGAGGUGAGGAAUACCGGCGAGAAAUCGCCGACAAGACCGCAUAGCCUCGGUGCAAGCCGAGGAAAGCUUUCUCGAGAGAGGGAGCGCCACACGAGGAGCCUGCGCCCGAUUAGCUAGCUGGUGGAGUAACGGUUCACCAGGGCGACGAUCGGUAGCUGGUCUGAGAGGACGAUCAGCCACACUGGGAUUGAGAACGGCCCAGACUCCUACGGGGGGCAGCAGUGAGGAAUUUCGUCAAUGGGGCAACCCUGAACGAGCAACGCCGCGUGCAGGAAGAAGGUUUUCGGAUCGUAAACUGCUUUUCGUCGGGGAAGAGAACGGACGGUACCCGAGGAAUCAGCCCCGGCUAACUACGUGCCAGCAGCCGC